RNAcentral lists this ribosomal RNA (1692 nucleotides) under Cronobacter sakazakii. Its description in RNAcentral is "bacterial LSU rRNA". It matches the Rfam family "Bacterial large subunit ribosomal RNA", at positions 1252 to 2925 of the family's 2925-position model. The record is from RNAcentral. Lineage: Bacteria; Pseudomonadati; Pseudomonadota; Gammaproteobacteria; Enterobacterales; Enterobacteriaceae.
GAAGGUGUGCUGUGAGGCAUGCUGGAGGUAUCAGAAGUGCGAAUGCUGACAUAAGUAACGAUAAAGCGGGUGAAAAGCCCGCUCGCCGGAAGACCAAGGGUUCCUGUCCAACGUUAAUCGGGGCAGGGUGAGUCGACCCCUAAGGCGAGGCCGAAAGGCGUAGUCGAUGGGAAACAGGUUAAUAUUCCUGUACUUGGUGUUACUGCGAAGGGGGGACGGAGAAGGCUAUGUCGGCCGGGCGACGGUUGUCCCGGUUUAAGCGUGUAGGCUGACUUUCCAGGCAAAUCCGGAAAGUUAAGGCUGAGGCGUGAUGACGAGGCACCACGGUGCUGAAGUGACAAAUGCCCUGCUUCCAGGAAAAGCCUCUAAGCAUCAGGUAACAUCAAAUCGUACCCCAAACCGACACAGGUGGUCAGGUAGAGAAUACCAAGGCGCUUGAGAGAACUCGGGUGAAGGAACUAGGCAAAAUGGUGCCGUAACUUCGGGAGAAGGCACGCUGACAUGUAGGUGAAGCCCCUGCGGGUGGAGCUGAAGUCAGUCGAAGAUACCAGCUGGCUGCAACUGUUUAUUAAAAACACAGCACUGUGCAAACACGAAAGUGGACGUAUACGGUGUGACGCCUGCCCGGUGCCGGAAGGUUAAUUGAUGGGGUUAUCGCAAGAGAAGCUCCUGAUCGAAGCCCCGGUAAACGGCGGCCGUAACUAUAACGGUCCUAAGGUAGCGAAAUUCCUUGUCGGGUAAGUUCCGACCUGCACGAAUGGCGUAAUGAUGGCCAGGCUGUCUCCACCCGAGACUCAGUGAAAUUGAACUCGCUGUGAAGAUGCAGUGUACCCGCGGCAAGACGGAAAGACCCCGUGAACCUUUACUACAGCUUGACACUGAACAUUGAGCCUUGAUGUGUAGGAUAGGUGGGAGGCUUUGAAGCGUGGACGCCAGUCUGCGUGGAGCCGACCUUGAAAUACCACCCUUUAAUGUUUGAUGUUCUAACCUGGCGCCGUGAUCCGGCGUGGGGACAGUGUCUGGUGGGUAGUUUGACUGGGGCGGUCUCCUCCCAAAGUGUAACGGAGGAGCACGAAGGUCAGCUAAUCCUGGUCGGACAUCAGGAGGUUAGUGCAAUGGCAUAAGCUGGCUUGACUGCGAGAGUGACGGCUCGAGCAGGUGCGAAAGCAGGUCAUAGUGAUCCGGUGGUUCUGUAUGGAAGGGCCAUCGCUCAACGGAUAAAAGGUACUCCGGGGAUAACAGGCUGAUACCGCCCAAGAGUUCAUAUCGACGGCGGUGUUUGGCACCUCGAUGUCGGCUCAUCACAUCCUGGGGCUGAAGUAGGUCCCAAGGGUAUGGCUGUUCGCCAUUUAAAGUGGUACGCGAGCUGGGUUUAGAACGUCGUGAGACAGUUCGGUCCCUAUCUGCCGUGGGCGCUGGAGAAUUGAGGGGGGCUGCUCCCAGUACGAGAGGACCGGAGUGGACGCAUCACUGGUGUUCGGGUUGUCAUGCCAAUGGCACUGCCCGGUAGCUAAAUGCGGAAGAGAUAAGUGCUGAAAGCAUCUAAGCACGAAACUUGCCCCGAGAUGAGUUCUCCCUGAGACUAUAAGUCUCCUGAAGGAACGUUGAAGACGACGACGUUGAUAGGCCGGGUGUGUAAGCGCAGCGAUGCGUUGAGCUAACCGGUACUAAUGAACCGUGAGGCUUAACCUU